This 400-nucleotide unclassified non-coding RNA is filed under the name uncultured fungus. RNAcentral describes it as "sequence contains ITS1". Lineage: Eukaryota; Fungi. The record is from RNAcentral.
GACGUCAUCCCCACCUUCCUCCCCGUUAUCCGGGGCGGUUUCGCCAGAGUGCCCAGCAUAACCUGAUGGCAACUGGCAAUAAGGGUUGCGCUCGUUGCGGGACUUAACCCAACAUCUCACGACACGAGCUGACGACAGCCAUGCAGCACCUAUGCAGCACCCCUUGCGGGAAGGGAUGUUUCCACCCCGAUGCACUGCAUUUCGAGCCCAGGUAAGGUUCUUCGCGUUGCGUCGAAUUGAACCACAUGCUCCACCGCUUGUGCGGGCCCCCGUCAAUUCCUUUGAGUUUCAGUCUUGCGACCGUACUCCCCAGGCGGAUUGCUUAUCGCGUUAGCUUCGGCACAUUGGGAUUGGGUACCCAAUACACCAAGCAAUCAUCGUUUAGGGCUAGGACUACCAG